UACGUAGGGGGCAAGCGUUAUCCGGAUUUAUUGGGCGUAAAGAGCUCGUAGGCGGCCGUUCGCGUCGGAUGUGAAAGCUCAGGGCUCAACUCUGAGACGCCAUUCGAUACGGGACGGCUAGAGGUAGGUAGGGGAAAGUGGAAUUUCUGGUGUAGCGGUGAAAUGCGCAGAUAUCAGGAAGAACACCAAUGGCGAAGGCAGCUCUCUGGGACGGUACUGACGCUGAGACGCGAAAGCGUGGGGAGCGAACAGG
Molecule: ribosomal RNA, 253 nt
Filed under: uncultured bacterium
Lineage: Bacteria
Description: partial 16S ribosomal RNA
Rfam family: Bacterial small subunit ribosomal RNA
Source: RNAcentral